Molecule: transfer RNA, 136 nt
Filed under: Paenibacillus forsythiae
Lineage: Bacteria; Bacillati; Bacillota; Bacilli; Caryophanales; Paenibacillaceae
Description: tRNA-Ser
Source: RNAcentral
ACCGCUGUAGCGGUUCAACAUUAAAGUGCCAUAAAGUCAAUCAGCAUAAGGGAUGGCGGGUUUUUACAACGAGGGGCGGUCUUGAAAACCGUUAGGGUGCAAGCCCACAUGGGUUCGAAUCCCAUCCUCUCCGCCA